RNAcentral lists this ribosomal RNA (464 nucleotides) under Vreelandella stevensii. RNAcentral describes it as "partial 16S ribosomal RNA". It matches the Rfam family "Bacterial small subunit ribosomal RNA", at positions 338 to 795 of the family's 1533-position model. The record is from RNAcentral. Lineage: Bacteria; Pseudomonadati; Pseudomonadota; Gammaproteobacteria; Oceanospirillales; Halomonadaceae.
CCUACGGGUGGCAGCAGUGGGGAAUAUUGGACAAUGGGGGGAACCCUGAUCCAGCCAUGCCGCGUGUGUGAAGAAGGCCCUCGGGUUGUAAAGCACUUUCAGUGAGGAAGAACGCCUGGUGGUUAAUACCCAUCAGGAAAGACAUCACUCACAGAAGAAGCACCGGCUAACUCCGUGCCAGCAGCCGCGGUAAUACGGAGGGUGCGGCGUUAAUCGGAAUUACUGGGCGUAAAGCGCGCGUAGGUGGCUUGAUAAGCCGGUUGUGAAAGCCCCGGGCUCAACCUGGGAACGGCAUCCGGAACUGUCAAGCUAGAGUGCAGGAGAGGAAGGUAGAAUUCCCGGUGUAGCGGUGAAAUGCGUAGAGAUCGGGAGGAAUACCAGUGGCGAAGGCGGCCUUCUGGACUGACACUGACACUGAGGUGCGAAAGCGUGGGUAGCAAACAGGAUUAGAUACCCCUGUAGUC